RNAcentral lists this unclassified non-coding RNA (207 nucleotides) under Hevea brasiliensis (rubber tree). Lineage: Eukaryota; Viridiplantae; Streptophyta; Magnoliopsida; Malpighiales; Euphorbiaceae. The record is from RNAcentral.
GUCUCUCUUAUAACUGGACCUAACCCUCUACAAGAAAACUCAGAAAAAAGUAACACACAAGGCCUUAGGCUCACAAUAUCAACAUCACAUGCCCAUCCAGGGCUUACAAGAAUCUAAUCUAAGUCCAAUUAUCCAAACUCCAACUCAAGUUCGUGACUUCUUUACAGUCCAAAUAAUUAUUUCUAGCACUUCAAAAAUUAUAAAAAU